GAUGAACGCUGGCGGCGUGCUUAACACAUGCAAGUCGAACGAAGCACUUUACUUGAUUUCUUCGGAAUGAUUGUUCUGUGACUGAGUGGCGGACGGGUGAGUAACGCGUGGGUAACCUGCCUCAUACAGGGGGAUAACAGUUGGAAACGACUGCUAAUACCGCAUAAGCGCACAGCAUUGCAUGAUGCAGUGUGAAAAAACUCCGGUGGUAUGAGAUGGACCCGCGUCUGAUUAGCUAGUUGGUGAGGUAACGGCUCACCAAGGCGACGAUCAGUAGCCGACCUGAGAGGGUNACCGGCACAUUGGGACUGAGACACGGGCCCAAAAUCCUAACGGGAGGCA
This 342-nucleotide ribosomal RNA is filed under the name uncultured bacterium. RNAcentral describes it as "bacterial SSU rRNA". It matches the Rfam family "Bacterial small subunit ribosomal RNA", at positions 28 to 350 of the family's 1533-position model. The record is from RNAcentral.